AGGUCAUUCUGGGGACAAUUUCUCAACAAGCCCUUGUAUCUCUCCCAUGCCUUAUAGAGUGAUUCUCCUCCCAUUUUCUCAAAGUUGGCAAUUGCCUUAUUCAAUUU
This is a small nucleolar RNA of Lactuca sativa (garden lettuce), 107 nucleotides long. Lineage: Eukaryota; Viridiplantae; Streptophyta; Magnoliopsida; Asterales; Asteraceae. The record is from RefSeq and is a predicted model, not a curated record.